Molecule: ribosomal RNA, 1420 nt
Filed under: Mycobacterium tuberculosis
Lineage: Bacteria; Bacillati; Actinomycetota; Actinomycetes; Mycobacteriales; Mycobacteriaceae
Description: partial 23S ribosomal RNA
Rfam family: Bacterial large subunit ribosomal RNA
Source: RNAcentral
GGAGGAUAUGUCUCAGCGCUACCCGGCUGAGAGGCAGUCAGAAAGUGUCGUGGUUAGCGGAAGUGGCCUGGGAUGGUCUGCCGUAGACGGUGAGAGCCCGGUACGCGAAAACCCGGCACCUGCCUAGUAUCAAUUCCCGAGUAGCAGCGGGCCCGUGGAAUCCGCUGUGAAUCCGCCGGGACCACCCGGUAAGCCUAAAUACUCCUCGAUGACCGAUAGCGGAUUAGUACCGUGAGGGAAUGGUGAAAAGUACCCCGGGAGGGGAGUGAAAGAGUACCUGAAACCGUGUGCCUACAAUCCGUCAGAGCCUCCUUUUCCUCUCCGGAGGAGGGUGGUGAUGGCGUGCCUUUUGAAGAAUGAGCCUGCGAGUCAGGGACAUGUCGCAAGGUUAACCCGUGUGGGGUAGCCGCAGCGAAAGCGAGUCUGAAUAGGGCGACCCACACGCGCAUACGCGCGUGUGAAUAGUGGCGUGUUCUGGACCCGAAGCGGAGUGAUCUACCCAUGGCCAGGGUGAAGCGCGGGUAAGACCGCGUGGAGGCCCGAACCCACUUAGGUUGAAGACUGAGGGGAUGAGCUGUGGGUAGGGGUGAAAGGCCAAUCAAACUCCGUGAUAGCUGGUUCUCCCCGAAAUGCAUUUAGGUGCAGCGUUGCGUGGUUCACCGCGGAGGUAGAGCUACUGGAUGGCCGAUGGGCCCUACUAGGUUACUGACGUCAGCCAAACUCCGAAUGCCGUGGUGUAAAGCGUGGCAGUGAGACGGCGGGGGAUAAGCUCCGUACGUCGAAAGGGAAACAGCCCAGAUCGCCGGCUAAGGCCCCCAAGCGUGUGCUAAGUGGGAAAGGAUGUGCAGUCGCAAAGACAACCAGGAGGUUGGCUUAGAAGCAGCCACCCUUGAAAGAGUGCGUAAUAGCUCACUGGUCAAGUGAUUGUGCGCCGAUAAUGUAGCGGGGCUCAAGCACACCGCCGAAGCCGCGGCACAUCCACCUUGUGGUGGGUGUGGGUAGGGGAGCGUCCCUCAUUCAGCGAAGCCACCGGGUGACCGGUGGUGGAGGGUGGGGGAGUGAGAAUGCAGGCAUGAGUAGCGACAAGGCAAGUGAGAACCUUGCCCGCCGAAAGACCAAGGGUUCCUGGGCCAGGCCAGUCCGCCCAGGGUGAGUCGGGACCUAAGGCGAGGCCGACAGGCGUAGUCGAUGGACAACGGGUUGAUAUUCCCGUACCCGUGUGUGGGCGCCCGUGACGAAUCAGCGGUACUAACCACCCAAAACCGGAUCGAUCACUCCCCUUCGGGGGUGUGGAGUUCUGGGGCUGCGUGGGAACUUCGCUGGUAGUAGUCAAGCGAAGGGGUGACGCAGGAAGGUAGCCGUACCAGUCAGUGGUAACACUGGGGCAAGCCGGUAGGGAGAGCGAUAGGCAAAUCCGUCG